Molecule: long non-coding RNA, 3130 nt
Organism: Triticum urartu
Lineage: Eukaryota; Viridiplantae; Streptophyta; Magnoliopsida; Poales; Poaceae
Source: RefSeq, a predicted model, not a curated record
CUCCCCAUUCCUUCAUCCUGAACAAAACUGCCCGCACGAACCCACGACCUUCGCUGGUCCUCCUCUGCUACCCACGCCUCCCGCAGAUCCUCCGCUCGGCCACUCCCCACAGAUCCUCUGCUGUCCCACGACGCGACCGCGGACUGCCGCCGCCGAUGAUCCCAUCUGAUGGCGGCGCCGACCCAUCCCUGGCGCUGGAUGCGGUGACCUCCGGUAGAGGCACGCCCAGCCGUGCCUUCCCGAGCACAGUCUCGCCGGGAUGCCUCCGCUCCUCCGGCAGCGCCGCGCCCGUCCGCCGCAGCCCGCCGGCGAGGGCACAAUCGGUGCCGACCUGCACGCGCAAGGGGAGGCGGCAGGAGCAGUCGUGCAAGGGCAGGACCAGCUGUGCGGUCAAUCGAGCGAUCCUUUUUCAUCUUGGCCGCCAUGUCCCCCGCCAUGGACGACGCCCGCUGUGGCGAUCUCCACCCCGGCGACCAGCUCUGCCUCGCCUACCAAAUCAAAUCUACGAACUAAGGUUGAUUUCUAUGACUUCAGUUCGCUGGUGGUACUGGCAUAACGCUUAUGUUGCAGGCUUCUCCAGAAUGAUUCCUCACAAGAGAUAUCUCAACCAGUCAUAAGUUAGCCUGAAGACAUAUGGUGCAGAUACUCUUCCUUGGUAUAAGAGAUACUUUCGACUAAGCACACGCGCAAUGUUACAUUUGAGUAAGGGAUUACCAUGUUCUCUGAAUUUUCUACCCGACAGAUAUGUUCAACUAUAGUUAGAGUAUUCCGACAAAGGGUUUACCCCCGCUUUAUAUUAUAAAGCAUCCGGAUAUUUAGAGUAUUAUACAUCUCUAAUCUGCAUAUUUGAAACCAACAUGAUAAUGUUCCAUACUUCUUAAGCCAUUUUGGUGCCACCUAUUGUACCAUCAUUUUUUGCUUCAGGUAUUGUCCUUAUUUCCAAACAAUUCCAUUGUCUUCGCUUUCUCUACUCACAUGUGUUUUUUAGUCUUCCUCUCACUCUUUUGAGCUUCUACAGAACUGAUGUCUAACUGCUAUGUUUACCCUUCUGAAUAAUACCCUUAUCAAGUUUUCAGCUUUUAAUGUAAAACCGUAACCAAUUACCGAAAUUUUGGAGUUCUUUUUCACCUUUUCUUGUCCGGUUGUGGAUAAAAAAAACUUAUGCUGAAUCAUUACGUCUCCAGACGAGCAGUGCAGAUUUGAGAGUUGGGUUAUUUGUCAAAAGUUUUCCGUUUUAUCCAUACAAUAGAAAAAUUAGUUUUACAUAAUUUGAAUGUGUGCUCACAUGAGCUUGUAAACUUCUCUCAUGUGUCCACACAAGGGCGGAGGGAAGAUUCUUUCUGUGAAGAAACCUAUUUUGUAUGAAGUUGUAGUUGAUUUUGUCGGACUGGGAAGUGAUGGAUGCACCAAGUAGGUGGUCUUUAUUUCUGGGAUUAGAAUUUUCAAAAGGACUGUUUCUUCUCACCUUGAUCUUGUGAUCUAAUGAAACUUAUUCCUGAUUUUGAUCAGGGACACAACAGUGAAGAUGUUUUUGAAUUUCGUGCUGUAGCUAAAUGAACGAUUAUUAGAUAUUGGAGAAUUAACGAGGUAUGGCUACUGCCAAGCAUGCUUUCAGAAGUACACGAUUCAAGAGAUUUUCUAUUUUGGCAGAAGUUAGUGUGCCUACUAACAAGUGUGCUCUGAAAAUUAGUCAAUUACUGCACCAGCUGGACUUAUAGAUCGGUUCACAAGGUUCUUUCUGGAUAGUAGUUAUGGUUUUAAUACACUUAAAACAUGUAUGGUUAUUUGAUUCAUGAACAAAACAAAUAUAUUCUCUUUUGAGCUUUGGGCAUUUCACAUAUGACCAUUGUACUGUUGCACUAUUACUACCACCUAUGUGAAAGGUAAAUAAACCUUUCAGCAACAUAUGUUGGUAUAAUUCUCUCCCAACUAGCAUUAUAUGCCAUAUAUAGUUGUUUUUUUACUGAAAUGUUAGGAGCCUCGUGUAUAAGGUAUGCAGAAAUUCUCACUUUGAGGAAGUGAUUAAUUCUUCAUGUGCAGUAACCUGGAGAGAUGGUGCUGGUGGAUUCUAACCGCAAGGUGAGUGGCUUGAUCCUUCAUUAAUCAUGUUUAAUUUUAGAGAAAAGUAUAUUUUUCGUCCCUCAACUUUUGACGGAGUCUAGAUUUGGUCCCUCAUUUUCGAAACUGGACAACUUGCACCCCCAACUACUAAAACCGGACAAAAUUUAUCCCUGGUCUUGGUUUUGAGCGGUUUUGAUGCUGGCUCACCCCGGUUUUGACCGAUGCUGACUUAAAUACAUGUAUAUCUUUCAAAUAUGUGAAUCUUUUGAAAUUCAAGUACUUUUUCCAAAUCUCUGUACUUUUUCACGUUUGCGUUAAAAUUUCAAAUUCACAUACCUUUUUGAAAUCCGCACUAUUUUCAAAUCCACAUACUUUUUCAAGUUCACAUAAUUUUCCAAAUUCGCAUACUUUUUUCUAGUUCGCAUAUUUUUCUCGGAUCCGCGUACUUUUUUCAUGUUUGUGUACUGCUUUCAAAUCCGUGUACUUUUUCAAAUUCAUGAACUUUUAUAGAAAGUACACGGAUCUGAAAAAAAACACUUGAACUUGAAAAUGGUAUGCAGACCUAAAUAAAAUAAACUGAUUUGAAGAAAGUACGCGAAUUUGAGUCAAAGCACGGUCAAAACCGGCAAAAGUCAGCACCAAAACCGGUCAAAACCAUGUUCAAGGACGAACCUUGUCCGGUUUUAGUAGUUCAGAGUGCAAGUUGUCCGGUUUCGUAGUUGAGGGACCAAAUCUAGACUAUGCCAAAAGUUGAGGGACGAAAAGUAUACUUUUCUCUUAAUUUUAAAUGGAUGUGAAGUGAUUGUCCUAGAUCAAUGGGUGAUUUAUGUGCAAAUGCUACAGUCGAAGACAUGCAGUUGCUUGCCGUCGAUGAAGCGACAUCAACAUGGGUAGCUGAUCCAGUCAUCUAUUAGUCUGUUCGUCUUUCUUCCUUGCACUUUGUUCUUCAGUCAUGUGUUGGGCAUCCUUCCCCAUGCUACUGACUCAAUGGUGUCGCUAGCCCAUGCUUCUGACUCUCCAGACAUAUACUCACUUCUUAGAAAUCCCAUGGCAAUUGCUUUCAUGUGAA